AUGGCCAUGGUAGCGAGAGCCGCGCUGCUCCUGGCCAUGGUGGUCGUGGCAAGCGCCACCUACUGCCCCCCGCCGCCGGCGCCGGUGCCCCGCUACGGGUCGUGCCCCCAGAACGCGCUCAAGCUGCACGUGUGUGCCAACGUGCUGAACCUGGUGAAGGCCAAGAUCGGCGUGCCGCCAACGGAGCCCUGCUGCUCGCUCCUCGACGGGCUCGUCAACCUGGACGCCGCCGUCUGCCUUUGCACCGCCAUCAAGGCCAACGUGCUCGGGAUCCACCUCAACGUCCCCAUCGACCUUAGCCUCAUCCUGAACAACUGCGGCAAGAUCUGCCCCGCCGACUUCCAGUGCAUCCACUAG
This 357-nucleotide ribosomal RNA is filed under the name Triticum aestivum (bread wheat). RNAcentral's name for it is "partial small subunit ribosomal RNA". The record is from RNAcentral. Lineage: Eukaryota; Viridiplantae; Streptophyta; Magnoliopsida; Poales; Poaceae.